CACGUAGGCACCAAGCGUUGUCCGGAUUUAUUGGGCGUAAAGAGCUCGUAGGCGGUUCAGUAAGUCGGGUGUGAAAACUCUGGGCUCAACCCAGAGAGGCCACUCGAUACUGCUGUGACUUGAGUACGGUAGGGGAGCGGGGAAUUCCUGGUGUAGCGGUGAAAUGCGCAGAUAUCAGGAGGAACACCGGUGGCGAAGGCGCUGCUCUGGGCCGAAACUGACGCUGAGGAGCGAAAGCGUGGGUAGCAAACAGG
Molecule: ribosomal RNA, 254 nt
Filed under: uncultured bacterium
Lineage: Bacteria
Description: partial 16S ribosomal RNA
Rfam family: Bacterial small subunit ribosomal RNA
Source: RNAcentral